RNAcentral lists this ribosomal RNA (468 nucleotides) under uncultured bacterium. RNAcentral's name for it is "partial 16S ribosomal RNA". It matches the Rfam family "Bacterial small subunit ribosomal RNA", at positions 29 to 507 of the family's 1533-position model. The record is from RNAcentral.
ACGAACGCUGGCGGCGUGCUUAACACAUGCCAGUCGAACGGAAAGGCCCUGCUUGCAGGGUGCUCGAGUGGCGAACGGGGGAGUAACACGUGGGUGAUCUGCCCCUUACUUUGGGAUAAGCCUGGGAAACUGGGUCUAAUACUGGAUAGGACCAUGCUGUAGGUGGUGUGGUGGAAAGAUUAGUUUCGGUAAGGGAUGAGCUCGCGGCCUAUCAGCUUGUUGGUGGGGUAAUGGCCUACCAAGGCGUCGACGGGUAGCCGGCCUGAGAGGGUGGACGGCCACAUUGGGACUGAGAUACGGCCCAGACUCCUACGGGAGGCAGCAGUGGGGAAUAGUGCACAAUGGGCGCAAGCCUGAUGCAGCGACGCCGCGUGGGGGAUGACGGCCUUCGGGUUGUAAACUCCUUGCAGCCAUGACGAAGCCCUUGUGGUGACGGUAGUGGUAGAAGAAGCACCGGCUAACUACGUG